CCUACGGGAGGCAGCAGUGAGGAAUAUUGGUCAAUGGACGAAAGUCUGAACCAGCCACGCCGCGUGAAGGAAGACGGCUCUAUGGGUUGUAAACUUCUUUUGUAAGGGAGUAAAACGCGGCACGUGUGCCUUUUUGCAUGUACCUUAUGAAUAAGGAUCGGCUAACUCCGUGCCAGCAGCCGCGGUAAUACGGAGGAUUCGAGCGUUAUCCGGAUUUAUUGGGUUUAAAGGGAGCGUAGGUGGGUUGUUAAGUCAGUUGUGAAAGCCCGCGGCUCAACCGUGGCAUUGCAUUGGAUACUGGCGGGCUGGAGUGCAGUUGAGGUAGGCGGAAUUCGUGGUGUAGCGGUGAAAUGCUUAGAUAUCAGGAAGAACACCGAUUGCGAAGGCAGCUUACUAAACUGUGACUGACGUUGAGGCUCGAAAGCGUGGGGAGCAAACAGGAUUAGAUACCCGGGUAGUC
This 460-nucleotide ribosomal RNA is filed under the name uncultured bacterium. RNAcentral's name for it is "partial 16S ribosomal RNA". It matches the Rfam family "Bacterial small subunit ribosomal RNA", at positions 338 to 795 of the family's 1533-position model. The record is from RNAcentral.